Molecule: non-coding RNA, 456 nt
Organism: Odocoileus virginianus texanus
Lineage: Eukaryota; Metazoa; Chordata; Mammalia; Artiodactyla; Cervidae
Source: RefSeq, a predicted model, not a curated record
UGGAAAGCACCCAAGUGCCCCCUGUCUGCGAAGUCAGAUCCUGGGCCCCCGGCGCACCGGGUGUCUCCGGGCUUCCGCAGGAGGCACCCUGAAGGAAGAGGCGCCCCCACACCAAGAAGGAGGUCUGGGGUGCCAAAUGCGGCUCAAGUCACUUCUCAAUGAGCUCAGCCACUACGCUGGGAAAUAUUACCCUACUUCACAGACAGUGUUGCUCAAAGUCACGCUACUGGCUAGAUUUGAAUCUAGAUUUUUUUUUUUUUCUUAAUGCCACUGAAGAGACAAUAUGACAACCAGGAAGAAACAUGCAAAAAGAACGAAGUAGUAUCCAUAAUACUACUACAAAAUGCAACUUUUCAAACAUGAAACCUUCCGCCUAUAUGCAAGUCUUUACAUAGUUGCAACCACACAUCCUCUUUUGUGUUUGCUACCAUCACUAACAUUUGUUUUGUUCACUUU